RNAcentral lists this ribosomal RNA (780 nucleotides) under uncultured bacterium. RNAcentral's name for it is "bacterial SSU rRNA". It matches the Rfam family "Bacterial small subunit ribosomal RNA", at positions 1 to 796 of the family's 1533-position model. The record is from RNAcentral.
GAAUUCGAUUAGAGUUUGAUCCUGGCUCAGAACGAACGCUGGCGGCGCGCCUAACACAUGCAAGUCGAGCGAUUAAAGCUCCUUCGGGAGUAUAUAAAGCGGCGGACGGGUGAGUAAGGCAUAGAUGAUCUGCCCUAAAGAGGGGGAUAGCUCGGGGAAACUUGGGUUAAUACCGCGUAAGCUGAACGAGUGAAUGCCGUUUAGUAAAGGCUUCGGCCGCUUUAGGAUGAGUCUAUGUUAGAUUAGAUAGUUGGUGAGGUAACGGCUCACCAAGUCAACGAUCUAUAACUGGUCUGAGAGGAUGAUCAGUCACACUGGAACUGAGACACGGUCCAGACUCCUACGGGAGGCAGCAGUGAGGAAUUUUGCGCAAUGGGCGAAAGCCUGACGCAGCGACGCCGCGUGGAGGAUGAAGUCUCUCGAGAUGUAAACUCCUGUCAGUGGGAACGAUAAUGACGGUACCCACAGAGGAAGCACCGGCUAACUCCGUGCCAGCAGCCGCGGUAAGACGGAGGGUGCGAGCGUUGUUCGGAAUUACUGGGCGUAAAGCGUACGUAGGCGGUUGGUUAAGUCGAAUGUUAAAGCUCGGAGCUCAACUCCGUAGAUGCACUCGAUACUGGUCAACUAGAGGGUGGCAGAGGAAAGCGGAAUUCCAAGUGUAGCGGUGAAAUGCGUAGAUAUUUGGAGGAACAUCGGUAGCGAAAGCGGCUUUCUGGACCAUUCCUGACGCUGAGGUACGAAAGCGUGGGUAGCAAACAGGAUUAGAUACCCUGGUAGUCC